RNAcentral lists this long non-coding RNA (676 nucleotides) under Phoenix dactylifera (date palm). RNAcentral's name for it is "long non-coding RNA (PDAC_LNC003176)". The record is from RNAcentral. Lineage: Eukaryota; Viridiplantae; Streptophyta; Magnoliopsida; Arecales; Arecaceae.
UGCAUCGUAUAUGCAUAUUUAGAUCGGAUUAUGAUAUAUCUAUUAUGUUACAAAAGAAUUUUGAUGUGCAUCAGAUUUAGAACUCUCAGCCUGGCUAUGUUCUGGACCCUGCCAAUAGGGGGUUAUGCAUUGACAAUUCUGGCUCCACCACAGGGUAUAAGUGUGGUAUUCUGGCCCACUCCGCAGGGUAUAAGUGCGGUAUUCUGGCCCACUCCGCAGGGUAUAAGUGCGGUAUUCUGGCCCACUCCGCAGGGUAUAAGUGCGGUUCUGUUUCUGGCCUAGCCACAGGGUAUAAGUGUGGUCGUAGUUAAAGGCUGAUGAGAUGAAUAUGAUUUGUUUCGAAUCAGAUUUAUGAUUAUGUAUAUAGAUAUUUGAAAAAUACGAAUUUUAAUGAAUUUGUGCUUGAAAAGAAAUUGAUUAUGUUAUUAUGUUGAUUCAUCGUAAUUUGUAUUUAUAUUUUAUGUUAUUAUAUGAAUUGACUAGUUAAGGUGUUUAUUACUUACUGGGCUGUCUAGCUCAUUAUACAAUUUCUUGUUGUUUGACAGAUUUUGAGAACUAACCUUCGGGGAUUUAAAAUGGGAGAGCGACUAGAAGAACUGAAGCACAAGUUAUCCUAGAUUAGGCUUUAUUUAAAUUGAUGUUUUAUCUUUAUUGUUCCGCUGCGUAUUUAGAACUG